GUUCUUUAAAUGAUGAAUAUUCUUUUUUUUACAGUUAUCCCUGUCUUAAUCAAUCUAUGUUGAGAAUCGUAAACCUGAAAAGAAC
This 85-nucleotide small nucleolar RNA is filed under the name Nadsonia fulvescens var. elongata DSM 6958. RNAcentral's name for it is "Small nucleolar RNA R38". It matches the Rfam family "Small nucleolar RNA R38". Rfam says of the family: snoR38 is a C/D box small nucleolar RNA conserved across yeast, human, Arabidopsis and rice. It is encoded in the intron of elongation factor-1 gamma in both pombe and cerevisiae. snoR38 guides the methylation of 2'-O-ribose sites in 28S rRNA. Lineage: Eukaryota; Fungi; Ascomycota; Dipodascomycetes; Dipodascales. The record is from Rfam by way of RNAcentral.